Molecule: non-coding RNA, 84 nt
Organism: Flammeovirga sp. MY04
Lineage: Bacteria; Pseudomonadati; Bacteroidota; Cytophagia; Cytophagales; Flammeovirgaceae
Source: Rfam
GCCUGGGUGGCGGAAUUGGUAGACGCGCUAGACUCAAAAUCUUGUGAGGGUGACCUCGUGUGGGUUCGAGCCCCACCCCAGGUA